AAUCUGGUUGAUCCUGCCAGUAGUCAUAUGCUUUGUUCAAGGGCUAAGCCAUGCAUGUCUCAGCGCACACGGAAUUACAGUGGAUCUGUGAAUGGCUCCUUACAUCAGCAGUCAUCUCCAUGAUAGAGUGUGGAUGGCACCAACUCCCAGGUGCUCGCUUGGACAUCCUCCAAAACCUAGUGGCUAAUACACGUUCGAAAAGGUCUGCCAUAGCACAGUUCUGCUGGCAGUUCACUGUCUGGCUAGACUGGUGGUGGAUUGCACCCAGCUGCUGAGAAGACCAGCGCCUGGAAAGGCAGUGUGUCAUGGCUGACUCAGGCUGGUCCCCCUGGGACAUUUGCACUGGCAGAGUGGUGGCUUAUGCCACAGCAUUGCUUGAUCACACGAACUUCUGACCUAUCAGCUUGGAUUGUGGUGUAGUGGACCACAAUGGCAGUGACGGGUAACGGAGAAUCAGGGUUCGAUUCCGGAGAGGGAGCCUGAGAGACGGCUACCACUACCAAGGUGGGCAGCAGGCGCGCAAAUUGCCCAAUGCCAAGGCAGUGGUGAGGCAGCGACGAACUGCAGCAAUCCCGCCUGUCCUUUGUGACCAGUGGGACUUGUAAUGGAUGCAAUCCAAACACAGUGAUGAGUAUCAACUGGAGGGCAAGUCUGGUGCCAGCAGCUGCGGUAAUUCCAGCUCCAAGAGUGUAUACUAAUAUUGCUGCUGUUAAAACACUUGUAGUCGGAUGCUGGGUGUGGGUCUGCCAGGUGGCUGGUGGCUGGUGGUUGUGUCUGGUUCGCCAGGCAUGGCUGUCGGCUGCUGGAACUCAACCCCUGGCAGUAUGCUCCCACACCCGAACCUACAUGGUGAGAACUGCCCCUGCUCCAAGUCUCCUUCAGUGGGGAUCCAAGCGGUUUCACACUCAAAGCAUGUGUGCCUGACACCUGGGGGGCAUGGCCCAGUGCUGUGCAUUUCCCUCUGUCCACCACCGGGGUCCACCAGUGCUGUCACCCUGGAAAACUCAGUGUGCUCAAAGCAGCCUCUCGGCUGAAUGCCCGUCCAUGGAAUGUCAAAGUAUCGACCUGAUGUGGCUUUGGAGUUGUGCUGGCCUUGGUGCCCAUUCAGGAUAUUGUGGUGCUGUCCCCCAGUGGCUGUAGGGGUCACCCACGACCGGUGGCCCACUCAACUGCACUGCUGGUGGGUACAUGUACUGUAUCGGCCAUGAUGGGACUGCUCAGGGUGAAGGGUAUUGUAGCGCCAGAGGUGAAAUUCUUAGACCGCUGCAAGACCAACUGCAGCGAAGGCGCUUUGCAAGUGCAUGUCUGUCGAUCAAGAAUGAGAGUGUGGGGAGCGAAGAUGAUCAGACACCGUCGUAGUCCACAACUGUAAACUAUGCCGGCUCGACAUUGAGGGUGCAAGAUAAACUGACACCCCCAGUGUCAUACCCCCUACAACGAGAAAUCCAAGCCUGUGGGUUCAGGGGGGAGUACUGUCGCAAGGCUGAAACUUAAAGGAAUUGACGGAAUGGCACCACAAGGCGUGGAGUAUGCGGCUUAAUUUGACUCAACACGGGGAAUGUUACCAGGUCAGGACACUGCUGGGAUGGACAGAUUGAGAGCUCUUUCUUGAUUCUGUGGAUGGUGGUGCAUGGCCGCUCCUGAUUGGUGGAGUGAUUUGUCUGGUUGAUUCCGAUAACGAGUGAGAUAUCUGCCUCCCAAUAGCCCCAGACUCGCACUUGUAGGGUGGUCAUGGUGUGCCACCAGUGGGUUCGCUUGCUGGCUGGCCACCACUGAUGCCUGAGAGACCUGGGCCAAGCUUCUCUGAGGUGCUGUACUCACUACCAAGAGUAUGCAUGCUAGAGCCAACAGCAGGUCUGUGAUGCUCCCAGAUGUCCUGGGCCGCACGCGCACUACAUUGAUCCAGUGAAUGAGUUUACACUCACUUGUUGAGUCCUGCCUGGAAGUGGGUGGGAAACCCCUGGAGCCUGGAUUGUACUGGGGAUAGCUGAUUGCAACUGUCUGCCUUGAACGAGGAAUGCCUAGUAUGCUUGGGUCAUCAGCCCAAACCGAUUGUGUCCCUGCCAUUUGUACACACCGCCCGUCGUUGCUACCGAUGGCAGUAGGAUAGAGCCAUCAGGAGACUACAGUCACCUCUGGUGUUCUGAGUUGAAAUUGGGCUAUGUCCUGCUGCUAGAGGAAGCAAAAGUCGUAACAAGGUUGUUGUAGGUGAACCUGCAGAAGGAUCAAGCUUGAGUCCCGGGA
RNAcentral lists this ribosomal RNA (2244 nucleotides) under Phacus pusillus. RNAcentral's name for it is "SSU rRNA". It matches the Rfam family "Eukaryotic small subunit ribosomal RNA". Lineage: Eukaryota; Euglenozoa; Euglenophyceae; Euglenales; Phacaceae. The record is from RNAcentral.